ACGCUCGACACCUACGGGAGGAGCAGUGGGGAAUAUUGCACAAUGGGGGAAACCCUGAUGCAGCGACGCCGCGUGAAGGAAGAAGUAUCUCGGUAUGUAAACUUCUAUCAGCAGGGAAGAAAAUGACGGUACCUGACUAAGAAGCCCCGGCUAACUACGUGCCANNCGCGAGUAUNGCGGCGNGNGAGAG
Molecule: ribosomal RNA, 190 nt
Filed under: uncultured bacterium
Lineage: Bacteria
Description: partial 16S ribosomal RNA
Rfam family: Bacterial small subunit ribosomal RNA
Source: RNAcentral